Non-coding RNA from Bombyx mori (domestic silkworm), 79 nucleotides. The record is from RefSeq and is marked provisional. Lineage: Eukaryota; Metazoa; Arthropoda; Insecta; Lepidoptera; Bombycidae.
GCGUUUCUUCCCGCGCGUGACGGUUUGGAACCCAUCGGAGGUUCCGGGUUCGGGGCUGGCGGCCGACUCGAACUCCAUC